Long non-coding RNA from Drosophila virilis, 698 nucleotides. RefSeq lists it as uncharacterized. The record is from RefSeq and is a predicted model, not a curated record. NCBI's taxonomy places the organism in Eukaryota, Metazoa, Arthropoda, Insecta, Diptera, Drosophilidae.
UGAAUUUGUAUUAUGUUAUUUCCCUCAAUUAAUGAUACCGUAUCAAAAGUGAUAUCUUAAUUGAGGGAAAUAACAUGUUACGAAACUGCUUGUUUCUUGGUGGGCUGGCUCAUCGGUUUCUCUGGGUGCAGUCCCAUCCCUGCCCCGCAGUCCGCACAAUCGAUAACAACAAAGCUACACUCCUGUAGCAAAACAGACUUACACAACACUAUGAAAAACGAACCACAAAUCGAUAGCAUCAAACAAUCGGAACUUCUAACAGAUGAACAACAUAAACAGCUGUGACGAUAAGUAAAUAUCGGGCCCGGUACCCGCCCAACCAUGAGACGAUCACCUACUCGUCUCUCACUUUUGGCAAUGGCCAAAAUGGCCAAUGGCCAUCUAAUGAGAUUGCCAUCAGCCUGGGCCGGCAGUUAUACCAACUCUCCCCCAUCAAAGAAAAUUUAGCCGAACACUUCUCUCUUCAGAUACGGUUAUCUUCAAGCUGCUAUUGAUAAAUUCGUACACGCGAACAUUUCCGGCAUUUUAAAAUAGGUGCAUACGAUAAAUUGGUAUAUUCUUAUAUUUAGAACAAUUUAAUUUUAAAUUUCAAUUUUUUCACUUCUUUCAACUUUGCUUCAACAAGUAUCUAUAACGUGUUGCAUCAUUUCAUAUUUAUAACAAUAUCUGUUAAUCUUAAAAAUAUUAAUUUUUUUUGU